AACUACUACCAGCUUCAUGGCUCGAGGAGAAUCUCUCGUUCGAGAUGAGAGCAGUGGAAGCAGCGAAGGUCAUGAUACUAGUAUAGGUUACGAAUCAGAAAUGAGAAGUGACGUAGAUUCAGUGGUCCAGACAAGCAUCAAGUCGCUUCUGUCUCAAGUGCCAAAGGAAUAUCUCCGUACAUUGGUGGAAGAGGUGCAG
Molecule: non-coding RNA, 199 nt
Organism: Penaeus vannamei (Pacific white shrimp)
Lineage: Eukaryota; Metazoa; Arthropoda; Malacostraca; Decapoda; Penaeidae
Source: RefSeq, a predicted model, not a curated record